RNAcentral lists this non-coding RNA (539 nucleotides) under unclassified sequences. Its description in RNAcentral is "ROOL RNA". It matches the Rfam family "ROOL RNA". Rfam says of the family: Firmicutes, Fusobacteria (1 example), Tenericutes (1 example). Environment (Cow rumen (57)) The record is from Rfam by way of RNAcentral.
AAUCAAUGCGAAGGAUUGUUUCAACCAUGUGUAUUCACAAUUCCAUGUGGUCAUGGACGUGUUCGAGGAGUUCCACUAUGGAGGAUACCCCAUAGGUAGGCUUUACCAGACAGGUAGAAGAGGUGGAAAAUCUCAACCGAGCAGACACGGUGCUGUGAUGAAACGCAAGAAAAUGGUAUCGCUAACUGGUCGCUAUCGCAAUAGAUAUGAAGUACGCACUUCAUUGAACCAAGUAGAGGAUAGUGUGGCAGCUAUGUCAAUCGCUUGGAGUGCCAUAAGAUAGUUGUCCAAUUGAUGCUGGUAAUCAGCUAUAAGACCAGACGCGAGUACGAGUAGCCCAAACUUGGAUAUAUUAGAAGAUUAAUAUGCUGAAUGGUGGGUGGAAGUUGUUGGUAGCCAAUCCAGCCAUAGAUUGACGCAAGUUGGGAUGGAAAGAUACGAGGUCGCUCCUUGUGUCUCAGCUCCAUCUCCUAUGUGACCGAAUUACCACUACGUUUUAUGAAGGUAAGGCGAAGGCCUGAGACAAUCUUUCGCGUUGG